CCCGCACAAGCGGUGGAGCAUGUGGUUAAUUCGACGCAACGCGAAGAACCUUACCAGGGCUUGACAUCCCCUGACCGCGUAUGAAAGUACGUUUUCACCCUCGGGUGACAGGGAGACAGGUGGUGCAUGGUUGUCGUCAGCUCGUGUCGUGAGAUGUUGGGUUAAGUCCCGCGACGAGCGCAACCCCUACGUUUAGUUGCUAACAGGUGAAGCUGAGCACUCUAGACGAACUGCCGUUGACAAAACGGAGGAAGGUGGGGAUGACGUCAAAUCAUCAUGCCCCUUAUGUUCUGGGCUACACACGUGCUACAAUGGCCGGUACAGACGGAGGCGAAGCCGCGAGGCGGAGCAAAUCCGAAAAAGCCGGUCUCAGUUCAGAUUGUAGGCUGCAACUCGCCUGCAUGAAGCUGGAGUUGCUAGUAACCGCGCGUCAGCUAUAGUGCGGUGAAUACGUUCCCGGGGCUU
Molecule: ribosomal RNA, 465 nt
Filed under: uncultured Pelotomaculum sp.
Lineage: Bacteria; Bacillati; Bacillota; Clostridia; Eubacteriales; Desulfotomaculaceae
Description: bacterial SSU rRNA
Rfam family: Bacterial small subunit ribosomal RNA
Source: RNAcentral